RNAcentral lists this ribosomal RNA (253 nucleotides) under uncultured bacterium. RNAcentral describes it as "partial 16S ribosomal RNA". It matches the Rfam family "Bacterial small subunit ribosomal RNA", at positions 524 to 776 of the family's 1533-position model. The record is from RNAcentral.
UACGUAGGUGGCAAGCGUCGUCCGGAUUUACUGGGUGUAAAGGGCGUGUAGCCGGGCUGACAAGUCAGAUGUGAAAUUCCGGGGCUCAACCCCGGACCUGCAUUUGAAACUGUUGGUCUUGAGUAUCGGAGAGGCAGGCGGAAUUCCUAGUGUAGCGGUGAAAUGCGUAGAUAUUAGGAGGAACACCAGUGGCGAAGGCGGCCUGCUGGACGACAACUGACGGUGAGGCUCGAAAGCGUGGGGAGCAAACAGG